GAGUUUGAUCCUGGCUCAGAAUCAACGCUGGCGGCGUGCCUCAGACAUGCAAGUCGAACGAUUAAAGCUCUCUUCGGAGAGUGUAUAGAGUGGCGCACGGGUGAGUAACACGUAAGUAAUCUACCCUCGAGUGGGGAAUAACGUUCGGAAACGGACGCUAAUACCGCAUAAUGCAGCGGCACCGCAAGGUGACAGUUGUUAAAGAUUUAUCGCUUGAGGAGGAGCUUGCGGCAGAUUAGCUAGUUGGUAAGGUAACGGCUUACCAAGGCUACGAUCUGUAACCGGUCUAAGAGGACGGUCGGUCACACUGACACUGAAUAACGGGUCAGACUCCUACGGGAGGCAGCAGUCGGGAAUUUUGGGCAAUGGGCGAAAGCCUGACCCAGCAACGCCGCGUGAAGGAUGAAGUAUUUCGGUAUGUAAACUUCGAAAGAAUAGGAAGAAUUAAUGACGGUACUAUUUAUAAGGUCCGGCUAACUACGUGCCAGCAGCCGCGGUAAUACGUAGGGACCAAGCGUUGUUCGGAUUUACUGGGCGUAAAGGGCGCGUAGGCGGCUUUGUAAGUCACUUGUGAAAUCUCUGAGCUUAACUCAGAACGGCCAAGUGAUACUGCAGUACUAGAGUGCAGAAGGGGCAAUCAGAAUUCUUGGUGUAGCGGUGAAAUGCGUAGAUAUCAAGAGGAAUACCUGAGGUGAAGACGGGUUUGCUU
RNAcentral lists this ribosomal RNA (709 nucleotides) under uncultured bacterium. RNAcentral describes it as "bacterial SSU rRNA". It matches the Rfam family "Bacterial small subunit ribosomal RNA", at positions 9 to 731 of the family's 1533-position model. The record is from RNAcentral.